Molecule: ribosomal RNA, 270 nt
Filed under: uncultured bacterium
Lineage: Bacteria
Description: partial 16S ribosomal RNA
Rfam family: Bacterial small subunit ribosomal RNA
Source: RNAcentral
GUCCUGGCCCUAAACGGUGUUCACUUGGUGUGCGGGGAGUCGACCCCCUGCGUGCCGCAGCUAACGCGAUAAGUGAACCGCCUGGGAAGUACGACCGCAAGGUUAAAACUCAAAGAAAUUGACGGGGCCCGCACAAGCGGUGGAGCAUGUGGCUUAAUUCGAUGCAACGCGAAGAACCUUACCUGGCCUUGACAUGCUGGUGGUAGAAGCCUGAAAGGGUGACGACUCAUCGUAAGAUGAGAGCCAGCACAGGUGCUGCAUGGUUGUCGU